Molecule: ribosomal RNA, 468 nt
Filed under: uncultured bacterium
Lineage: Bacteria
Description: partial 16S ribosomal RNA
Rfam family: Bacterial small subunit ribosomal RNA
Source: RNAcentral
GACGAACGCUGGCGGCGUGCUUAACACAUGCAAGUCGAACGGAAAGGCCCUGCUUUUGUGGGGUGCUCGAGUGGCGAACGGGUGAGUAACACGUGAGUAACCUGCCCUUGACUUUGGGAUAACUUCAGGAAACUGGGGCUAAUACCGGAUAGGAGCUCCUGCUGCAUGGUGGGGGUUGGAAAGUUUCGGCGGUUGGGGAUGGACUCGCGGCUUAUCAGCUUGUUUGUGGGGUAGUGGCUUACCAAGGCUUUGACGGGUAGCCGGCCUGAGAGGGUGACCGGCCACAUUGGGACUGAGAUACGGCCCAGACUCCUACGGGAGGCAGCAGUGGGGAAUAUUGCACAAUGGGCGGAAGCCUGAUGCAGCAACGCCGCGUGCGGGAUGACGGCCUUCGGGUUGUAAACCGCUUUCGCCUGUGACGAAGCGUGGGUGACGGUAAUGGGUAAAGAAGCACCGGCUAACUACGUG